UUACCUUGUAAUAUGUAAAAUCGUCGUUUUUAUUGUUUCACAAUGAACUCGGUGCGUCAAACCAGAAUUGCAGGCUCAUCAGCUUCGAGGGCAGACAAGGAGACAAAAGAGGCACCACUAAUUGCCGCUAUCGCGCGAGUGCGAUUCUUCACGAGCAUUUAUCACUGAAGGAAGUUUUGGGGUGUGCCUCCAGGCGAAAAGUUGAAAGAAGGGAUCCGGAAGACGAAACUGGCUGCCUCCUCAAGGUCUCUUUGUCUCUCUCCCUCUCAUUCGAAAAUGGCACUACGUGGAAAGAAGAGAGAGAGAUAAAAGGGAAAGGAGAGGGAAUGAAGGGAGAGAGAAGAAAAGGGGAGAGAGAGAGAGAGAGAGCCGGGAUUGGUAUCGAAGCGAUAUAUCUCGGGAUUGGCUUCGCAGUGGCGGAUAGUCUGCAUCGAAGCAACGAUAGGGGAAAGGGGUGCCACCUUGAUAAACGAGCCCAUAAAUAACAGUAACGUCUCCACCGAAAACUCGGCCGGGUAAAUGUAUAUCCAGAGCCAGCAGCAGCCAACGGCAGCGGUGGAACAGCAGCCAGCCAGCGGUUGAGGGAGUCGCAGACUCUUCGGGUGGUGGGGUAAUUUAAGAUCCUAUUGAGAUAUUUAUGGGAUCAUAAAGCGGAACUGGCUGCUUCUAUCGCCGGCAGCCAUGCGUGGAGCCGCGGUCCCGCGAUCCUCGGUAGUUUGUAUCUUUGUUUAUAACCGCCUUAGCCGCGCGCCGUGUUUCACUUUAUUUCGGUACGCUCGAUCAAGUAAGUUGGGAUCGUCGGGACAGUACAAACAGAAUUUAUUAGAAGACGAGUGGAUCUCGUGUAUUGACGUGAUGUACCAUUUCCACCUUGUUUUCGACCACUGAAGUUUAGACUAUGCACUUUGGCAUGCAAUUGGAUGUUUAUUCCAAUCACAUUGGAUGAAAGAUAGCAUAUGUUAAAUGCUCACAUCUUAUUUAUAAUAUAAACAAAAAACAAUUGAAAUAACAUGGCAAAAAGUCAAAAACAUAACAACGUAGUAUCGAGAAUUCAUUUUAUGCCAAUAAUAAAUAAUAAAUUAUGUUCUUCAUCGUGUAGAGUCAUGGCAACUGUCAAGUUGUUAUUUACUGGAGAUAUACUUUCAAUCGUGUAGAAAACAAAAAUUAUCGAUGAAAACAGGACAUUCCAGAAAUGGCGAAUUUUAAGGAUGUCGAAUCUCCGUCUAUCUUUCUCUCCAUUACCGUCCAAAGGAACCAUGCUUGUCGCAUCCAAACUGUGCCGAGGAAGCGCUUUACGGCAAUAAAGAGUGUUUGUCCGUGUGGGCUUCGUGUUGGUAACGAGCGGAUUAUACUCCCGACGUAGUAUCAGAUGGUCCCGUACCUGGUUCCAUGGUUGUUAAUUAGGAUGGAUGCCCACGCCUUGGGCGACUUUUACGAGCGGAUACGGUGCGAACCGAAAUAGCGCAUCCGAUGUUAACGCGCCUACCUUCCUUCGGCGAAUUGCGAAAAGUUAGUAGAAGCUGCACAUUUCGUGACCUGACGAAAUACGUCGCGGAUAAAUAAGAUGCAUCGCUCUGCGAGCCGUUGCAUUGGAGCACGCAUAAAGGAAGAUCAAUGCGACGGCAUUGUCGAGCAGGGAUAUAUACGAGGGAUUUUCACGAAUCGCGAGAUCGACGAGCCGAUUCCAUUCGACAAGGCCCAAAGAGUAACGAGGGAGACGAUAUCCUCCAGUAUGAAAGCGCGUUGGUUGUCUGUAGUAAAUCAACUGUCCUAUUCUAAUCUUUGUUGGCACCAACGAUAACGUCUGGUGGCCGCUGCCUACCUUGCCUCAGGUAUCUAUUCAAAUUAUCGACCACGAAAGUUGUUUUUUUUUUUUAUUAGAACCAAUUCUCUUGCUUCGGAAUCAGCUAUCUAACGUAUGACCUUAUCUUACACGUUUCUAAUACAUGAUAUAACGAAUCUUAUAACCAAAAUUAUAUACAAGUUUGAUUGAAACUGUUAUCUGAUAAGGCGGAUUUUUAUAACACAGACAAACAUGCAGUAUGUGUGAUUUCUGGGUAAAUAGUCCAAUCGAAAGUAACGUUGGUGUUUUACUACGGAAUGAAAUAUUUUUUCAUCGGUUCGUUGGACGACUUGGCCAGAGUUAAAUCGCUCGGAAGAUCGACGAGGCUGCGAGAGUAACGAACGGGGCGAUACCAGGCGUAUUCCUCGAAUGAAAUCGCGUCGCCUGUCCGUAGUAAAUCAACUGUCCUAUUCCAAUCUUUGUUCGCGGUGCUGGCAACAGCCAACGGCAGCCGCCUGCCUGCAGCCGUUGGCUCUAUCUAUCGAUGCAGGAGAGAAGUAAUCUGGUGAGUCGUAAAACGUGUCAGAAUGUCCAACAAACACCUACUCAUUAGCCCAGGUAGGCUGGACCGUGGCAGGCGGGAUUGCACAAGCACGCAUUAACUCCGUGUGGGUAAGUUAUGGUCCAGGGAGAGCAUAAUUCACCCGUAGCCAAGAAAGUGUGGGUUUACUUCUCUCGGACCUGCUUGUGUGAGGGCUUGGCUCCUCGUUAUUUUAUCGGGUGUCGGCGGCCUUCCGAGUCCCCUACCUAAUUGAAAUCCACGAAAUCAAAUUCGGAAAAACCGUCGUGCCGCAACACGUCGAACCUUUUCACAUUGACGAAUAGCUUAUUAUUUAUCGUGAGCAAAGUGACAUUGUAUCAAUCGACAGCGGAAAGUUCCAAGCGGAAAUAUAAUAAGAAAGUCAUUUCAAAUCAAUUUAAAGCACUCUGUAUUAUAACAAUACACGAAAGCCUGUGUAGCUCAACGCAGAAUUUUUUGUUAAACGUAAGUUGUAAAAUUCCAAUCAUAGCGAAGUUGGGUAUAUUAUGUCUUGGAAGUCGGAAGAAAUCGCAUUGAUAAUCUUAUCGCAUGUCACGCAGAGUCACGCUAGUUCGAUUUUGCUUAGAGUAAUGAAAGAUUUGCGUUCAGACACGGGUGAUAAAUCUCCGGAAUCAGGUUCAGCUAGAAAAGAACAGCCGAUCACCGUUGGAUCGGUUUCCAAGAGAUACACGCGUGUAUCUCGUAAGACCCUCUCACCAGGACACCGCGGUGUUCCUGUAACCAACUUGCAUUUCUACACGCGAAGAUGUGCUUGUAGAAUGGAUGGGGAGAGAUGUGCGUUGGUAUUGGUGAAACAGUGCAGGAAGCUGCAACAGCACGGUGGUGCAGCCGCCUCGUACGAGACCAGAUAGACAUCUUCGCCAACUCUCCCGCCGCCGUCUAACUAAUUGGCUACUGAAUUACUGGGCGACAUGACCAGUUAUUGCUUCGUACCUCACCUCGACCGGGUAUAUCGGAUCUUGGAUCUUGCAGUUUGAGGAGUACAGGCCGUAUUCCCGUUCUCUUCCAUCUUGCGCUCUAUCCUUACAUUAAUGACGACUCGUAAUACAGCGUUGAUCUCGAAAUCUCCAUUCGUAAUGGGUCUGCCGAGUCGUUCUCUUUUAGUACAUCGUACAUAUUUAUCUAAGUAUUUGCAUGAGUUAAUUCUUUGUGAUUUUCAUAAUACUUUCAAUCAUUUUUUUCGUUGUUGUAUUUCUCUUCUCUUUUUGUAAUUCUAUUUUGUGUUCUAUGACGAUUAGGCAUUCUUUGAAAAAAUUAUAUUGUAAGGUGGAUAUAGUUUGAAACGUUUGAAAAUAUUUUGUAAACGUUUUAAUGUCUUGUAUGUAUAUUAAAUGCUGGAACAUACAAGUAUCUAAAAUGUGGUGAUGAAUAACGAGUUGUAAGGAAUCUAUCAGUAUCCGAUGCAGACUCGUUGUCUCCUAUGCGAGUGUUUCCGUACAGCGAGUUAAGGUACCGGUACAAACCGAGCUACCCUUGGGUGAUAUAUGACUUUGUGGGUGCUCGUGCGAUACGCUGGCACUAAAAGGCUUAACGAGCAUCUUCGUACGCCACGGCAGUCCAGAGUAAACAGGACGUGGCUUAUCUUGUCACGAAAAAUCUGCGGAGAAAGGCUUCCGCAGGCUGACUCUUAUUUUUCUCUCCCCAUUUUCUCACUCCUUCUUUUUUCAUAAUACCAUGGCAAACAGGCGCGAUGAAUGGUCACGCUGGGGAUUCAGCCUACUUCGAAUUUUUGUUGCGAUGGUCGAUAAAAGUGGCUACGGUUGUGUUAAUGGUUAUGAGAUUUUAAUGUGUAUGCUUAAUGUUUAUCAGUUUCAAAAUACAGGAUUAUUUGAACCCGUUUUUGCAUUCAAAUCACUUUGCAUUUUCACAGUACAUUUUCACAGUAUUUUCUAAAUUUUAAUUGCGUACUCUUAACAGUAACUACUUUGUCUACAUGGGAACAUCGGCUUUGUAGUCUUUCUAACGUUUUGCGUUGUAAUAUUUUGUUAAAAAAUGUAAUAAAAGUUACUAAUAUAUUUAUUGAUACAAAUAACAUUUAUGAGCGCGAUAUGUUUAGUGAUCAAGUAUAUAUUAUCAUCUUUCGCACUCCUAGUUAAUAUGUUUAUAUUAAGUCAAUAUAUUAGACAAAAGGAUUAUGAUAUGACUCGGUUAUUUGACAACGCUGGUAGCGAUAGCUGCAAAGAACUUAUUUGUUGCAAUUCAAAUCAACAUCCAUAUCAUUUCAGGUAACUUCGUUACCUCUCGCAUUUCUCUUUUUUUCCUUCUUCCCUCUCUCCCUCUUUUCCUUUAUCGCAUCUCAAUCAUGGGUCUUUGCAGGAAAUUAUUAAUUCGAACGCUUCAUUAUCUCUUAAUAAAGCAACACGUAUCGCGACGAGUGUUGAAGGAGACGUCGUUAGGCUAAUUACUGCUUUGCCUUGGGUAUCAGACACACGACAUUUCAUGUUACACCUGGUACUUAGUAGCGAUGUAUCGUAAGAUUGGAAAACGAAUGAUUUUUAAAACGUAUAUUUUUACAUAUGUACAUAUAUAUACGUCUAUAAUUUUGAAAACACAGAAUUUAAAUA
This is a long non-coding RNA of Odontomachus brunneus, 4948 nucleotides long. RefSeq lists it as uncharacterized. The record is from RefSeq and is a predicted model, not a curated record. Lineage: Eukaryota; Metazoa; Arthropoda; Insecta; Hymenoptera; Formicidae. The transcript has 3 exons.